UAACAGCCUGGUUGUUCCUGCAGGUCCCUGGGGUAUAACAGCCUGGUUGUUCCUGCAGGUCCCUGGGGUAUAACAGCCUGGUUGUUCCUGCAGGUCCCUGGGGUAUAACAGCCUGUCAGGCCUGGUUGUCCCUGCAGGUCCCUGGGGUGUAACUGCCUGGUUGUUCCUGCAGGUCCCUGGGGUAUAACAGCCUGUCAGGCCUGGUUGUCCCUGCAGGUCCCCGGGGUGUAACUGCCUGGUUGUUCCUGCAGGUCCCCGGGGUAUAACAGCCUGUCCGGCCUGGUUGCGUCUCACACCUCACUCA
Long non-coding RNA from Oncorhynchus keta (chum salmon), 304 nucleotides. RefSeq lists it as uncharacterized. The transcript is spliced from 4 exons. NCBI's taxonomy places the organism in Eukaryota, Metazoa, Chordata, Actinopteri, Salmoniformes, Salmonidae. The record is from RefSeq and is a predicted model, not a curated record.